Non-coding RNA from Camellia sinensis, 3777 nucleotides. The record is from RefSeq and is a predicted model, not a curated record. Lineage: Eukaryota; Viridiplantae; Streptophyta; Magnoliopsida; Ericales; Theaceae.
CACACUUGGAAGCGCUAUUCCAAUGCCAUCCAUUUUGCUGAUAUCCACACUCGUGAGCUGUAUGUGAAGGUGACGAAGCCAAAGUUAGCCCCUUUCCUGCUCUCUCUCUGGAUAGAUAGAUUCUCUCUAUCCCCAAGCGUUACGUUUUCGAGCACUCUCAAACCCUAAUUUCAGAUUGAAGCCCUAAUCUCUUGUGGCUGCUCUGCUGAUCGGCAAAUGCAGUGUAAAGACGUUUUGACAACUGCUGGAUGGUUUGCCUUUGAAGUUCUUCUAUGAGGAAAUUUGUAAUUUUUGUCUUAAAGCAUUGAUUCCAACUGGAGAUUUCCAGUUUUCCAAAAUUGUGAAAGCUUGAAAUUUCUUUUUUCCAUUGAGGUAUACUUGGCCUUUUGGUACUGGUGUUCAUUGAUUAGAGCAAAGAAAGGAAAUUGUUGUUGAUGAAAUAGUGCUGCAAUAAGUUGGUAAAGAUGUUAUUCAACAAAGAAAUCGAGGAUUUGCAUGAUGAUGGCUUUGAGGGGUCAAUUAAUGAAAGUCGUAUUUUUACAGAGGUGUUCUUUGGAAAUGACUGCGAUACAACUAGUAAGAGGUGUCUUGUUACUGGAGUUAUUAAUUUUGAAUGUGAUUACAGUAGGCACACAGACAUGUUGCUUUGCUCAAACAAUGAAAAGUCAGCCAUAACAAGUCAGGUGGGUUCUUGUAAUGUAAAGGAGGAUUCAAAAAACAAUUCUGGUAAGCAAAUGAAGUUGGCAGUAGAUGAGCUUUCUUAUUCCAGACCUAAUUCCAGAGGGAUUUUGAAAUCAUCAGCUCUCUCAAAGGAAGUAGUUUCUGGUAUGUCAGCUUCACAAUCAAUCUGCCACACUAUAAUGGGUCGUUUAGUUGAAUCAUCCGGUCAGGGUGUUACUUCUAGUUGCUAUCUGCUAAAGCAGCAUGCUGAAAUAAACUCAGGAGGUGAAAUAGGUGACAGAGAUGUUUCUAAUCGUAGGCUGGAGAGCUUGGAUGGAAGUGAUGAGAAGGAAGUGAAUGCAAGUAAAGCUAUUGCUUCACCUGUUUCUCAGGAGAGCUUUGCGUCCAAGCUUUUAGUUGCAAGUCCAUCAGUCACUGUUGCAAAUAAUUCUGGAUCUCACCGAUGUGCCGAGGAAAGAACAAAGGCAUCCAACUCUAGUGAACUGUCAAUGGCUAAAAUAUCGUUGAAUAGAGUUUCCAUGAAGGAUCCCCGUCCUCCUCUCCGCAACCACAUCCAGAACCUACUUAGAGCAGCAGGAUGGCAGAUUAGGAGGCGUAAAAGAGAAGAUAAUAUUAGUGGGGAAUUUCUUUAUUUGUCACCUUGGGGAGGAAGACCUAUUCGUGAAUUACGUAGAGUUUGGAACUUAUGUGGUCGGAGUUUGCUUGCUGAUGGAAACAUUGUUGUGCGAGAAGAUAGUAAACUGUGGACUGAUAUGACUCAUUUCUGGUCUGAUCUAUCUAAUACAUUUAUCAAAAUCGAGGAAGAAUUGAACAAUACAGAAACUACUGCACUGGCACGUCGGUGGUAUCUUCUCGAUCCCUUUGCUAAUAUGGUGUUAAUUGACAAGAAGCUUGGCACUCUAAGAGCAGGAAAAGUAGUCAAAGCAAGGAGAACUUUGGUGAUUGAUACAUCUGCAAAAGAUGAUUCUGUUUUGGCCUUGAAAAAUGCCAAUGGCAUUGGAAACCAGUUGGAGAGACCUUCAACAUAUCGACUUUGUUAUUCUUCUGUGGCCAGUGAAAGUGCAUUGACAGUUUCUGAGGGAAUUCAAUGUAGGGAUUUCUCUGGGAACAAAAGAAGCAGACUAGAUCUGAGUUCUUUACAAGCUUAUGGGUCUGAUGGGACUAGUGAUCAUUUUAGUAGUUGCUUAUUUGAAGUUCCCAUCACUUCUGGAAAUGCACAUGUCAUGCAUGGAGGGCAUGAAACUGUCUCUCGUCAUCAUGAUUGCAAUACAAAUUCCCCAAGCUGUGCUAGACACAGAUCUGACCAUGGCGAGGAAAUGGUUUUGGAAGUAAAAAAAAAUGUAUCCAAGGGUGAAGAAGGCAAAACUUUCAGGGGAAAAUUUACUGAGAAGGUGGAAAAUCAGCUGAAGUCGUUUAUUUGCUCUUCUCAACGCCGGAAUGGGAAGAAACUGUCAACAUUUGGGAAGUUCCAUCAAAAUUCUGGUAGUGCUAAGAAAUCUAACCAGUUCUUUUCCGAGGAGUUGAACUUUAAAAAUAUUACUGUUGAGGUCCCUCUUCAUGUAAAAAAUGAGUCUCUGCACCCUGAAGCUUGGAGGCAAGACAUCAAAUCAGAAAAAGCUGAAUCUCAAAAUGGACAGAAGAGAUCAAUUACAUGCCAGCUUAAGGAUGAUGACCUUUUGAUUUCGGCUAUCAUAAAAAACAAAACUUUCGGAUCAACUACCAAACGAUCUGCUUGGAAAUGCAAAUCAGCAUCUCUGAGAAAAUACAAGAGCCAAAAGGGCAGUUGUAGGUUGCUUCCAAGGAGCUUGGGUAAGGGUGGAAAGCACAUUGACGGGAAGUGGUCCAUGUUUGGUUCAAGAACUGUAUUAUCCUGGUUGAUCGACUCUGGGGUUGUUUCUCUUAAUGAAGUUAUUCAAUACCGGAAUCCAAAGGAUGAAUCUGUGGUGAAAGAUGGCUUGGUUAAUCUGAAUGGGAUCUUAUGUAAGUGUUGCAAUAAGGUGCUCUCUCUCUCUGAAUUCAAGGUUCAUGCUGGUUUCAAGCUGAACCGUCCUUGUUUGAAUCUUUUUAUGGAGUCUGGUAAGUCAUUCACUUUAUGCCAGCUUGAGGCUUGGUCAGCUGAAUACAAGGCUAGGAAAAGUGCCACUCGAACUGUUCAAGAUGAUGAAAUGGACGAGAAUGAUGACAGCUGUGGUCUGUGUGGGGGCGGGGGUGAGUUGAUAUGCUGUGAUAACUGUCCAUCUACGUUUCAUCAGGCAUGCUUGCAUGGACAGGAGCUCCCUGAAGGCAGUUGGUAUUGCCAGCACUGCACUUGUAGGAUUUGUGGUGAUCUUGUUAAAGAUAAAGAGCCUUUCAAAUCACCUGGUGCAUUCAAGUGUUCACAGUGCGAGCAUAAGUACCAUGAAGCAUGCCUGAAAGAGAAGGGUGAAUGUAGAGAAGUGGCUUCUGAUACCUGGUUUUGCCGUGAAAGCUGUCAGGAGGUGUACUUGGGCAUACAUUCCCGUAUCGGGUUUGUAAAUCUUCUCCCUGAUGGCUUCUCUUGGACCCUUUUGAGGUACAUUCAUGGCGACCAAAGAGUUCAUUCCGAUCAACGACCUGUUGCACUGAAGGCAGAAUGCAACUCAAAGCUGGCUGUUGCUCUUACAAUUAUGGAGGAGUGCCUUCUCUCUAUGGUGGAUUCAAGAACAGGCAUAGACAUGAUACCCCAUGUAUUGUACAAUUGGGGAUCACAUUUUGCACGCCUAAACUAUAUUGGAUUUCACACAGUGGUUUUAGAGAAAGAUGAUGUGCUGAUGUGUGUCGCAUCAAUCAGAAUAAUCCAGGCAACGUCACAUUUAAAUUCAAGCUUCAAAUUUCAUGCAGGAUCCAUGGAGUAACAGUAGCGGAGAUGCCUCUUAUUGCAACUUGCAGUAAGUAUCGUCGCCAGGGAAUGUGUCGGCGCCUCAUGAAUGCUAUUGAAGAGAUGCUAAGAUCUUUCAAGGUCGAAAAGCUUGUGAUAUCAGCCAUUCCUAGUCUGGUUGAGACAUGGACAGUUGGGUUUGGCUUUAAACCCUUGGAAGAUAACGAGAGAAAUAGCCUGAGUAACAUCAACUUGAUGGU